AACGAACGCUGGCGGCAUGCCUAACACAUGCAAGUCGAACGGACCCUUCGGGGUUAGUGGCGCACGGGUGCGUAACGCGUGGGAAUCUGCCCUUAGGUUCGGAAUAACAGUUAGAAAUGACUGCUAAUACCGGAUAAUGACGUAAGUCCAAAGAUUUAUCGCCUAAGGAUGAGCCCGCGUAGGAUUAGCUUGUUGGUGAGGUAAAGGCUCACCAAGGCGACGAUCCUUAGCUGGUCUGAGAGGAUGAUCAGCCACACUGGGACUGAGACACGGCCCAGACUCCUACGGGAGGCAGCAGUGGGGAAUAUUGGACAAUGGGCGAAAGCCUGAUCCAGCAAUGCCGCGUGAGUGAUGAAGGCCUUAGGGUUGUAAAGCUCUUUUGCCAGGGAUGAUAAUGACAGUACCUGGAGAAUAAGCUCCGGCUAACUCCGUGCCAGCCGCCGCCGUAAG
RNAcentral lists this ribosomal RNA (450 nucleotides) under uncultured bacterium. RNAcentral's name for it is "bacterial SSU rRNA". It matches the Rfam family "Bacterial small subunit ribosomal RNA", at positions 29 to 524 of the family's 1533-position model. The record is from RNAcentral.